CACGUAGCUAACCUGCCAUGAAGUGGGGAAUAACAGCCCGAAAGGGUUGCUAAUACCGCAUAAGUUCCACCUCGUAGGAGGGGGAAGAAACCUUGGUUGUGAGAGACCUGGGGCUUUAUGAUGGGGCUGCGGCGGAUUAGCUAGAUGGUGAGGUAAAAGCUUACCAUGGCGACGAUCCGUAGCUGGUCUGAGAGGACGACCAGCCACACUGGGACUGAGAAACGGCCCAG
This 230-nucleotide ribosomal RNA is filed under the name uncultured bacterium. RNAcentral's name for it is "partial 16S ribosomal RNA". It matches the Rfam family "Bacterial small subunit ribosomal RNA", at positions 114 to 334 of the family's 1533-position model. The record is from RNAcentral.